This is a small nuclear RNA of 174 nucleotides. Its record names the gene U2. It matches the Rfam family "U2 spliceosomal RNA". Rfam says of the family: U2 is a small nuclear RNA (snRNA) component of the spliceosome (involved in pre-mRNA splicing). Complementary binding between U2 snRNA (in an area lying towards the 5' end but 3' to hairpin I) and the branchpoint sequence (BPS) of the intron results the bulging out of an unpaired adenosine, on the BPS, which initiates a nucleophilic attack at the intronic 5' splice site, thus starting the first of two transesterification reactions that mediate splicing. The record is from Ensembl.
AAAACUUUUCGAAAGAAAAAAUCUGUUCUUAUCAGUUUAAUAUCUGAUACGUCACCUAACCGGGGACUACAUAUUAAAUUGAUUUUUGGAUCAUGGAGCUGGAGUCGGGGCUUGCACUGUCCACUCCACGCAUCGGCCUGGUAUUGCAGUGUCUCCAGGAACGGUGUGCUUCCC